This 163-nucleotide ribosomal RNA is filed under the name uncultured bacterium. RNAcentral describes it as "partial 16S rRNA". It matches the Rfam family "Bacterial small subunit ribosomal RNA", at positions 355 to 510 of the family's 1533-position model. The record is from RNAcentral.
UAGGGAAUCUUCCACAAUGGGCGAAAGCCUGAUGGAGCAACGCCGCGUGUGUGAUGAAGGGUUUCGGCUCGUAAAACACUGUUGUAAGAGAAGAAUGACAUUGAGAGUAACUGUUCAAUGUGUGACGGUAUCUUACCAGAAAGGAAUGGCUAAAUACGUGCCA